AUUGAACGCUGGCGGCAGGCCUAACACAUGCAAGUCGAACGGUAACAGGAAGCAGCUUGCUGCUUUGCUGACGAGUGGCGGACGGGUGAGUAAUGUCUGGGAAACUGCCCGAUGGAGGGGGAUAACUACUGGAAACGGUAGCUAAUACCGCAUAACGUCGCAAGACCAAAGAGGGGGACCUUAGGGCCUCUUGCCAUCGGAUGUGCCCAGAUGGGAUUAGCUAGUAGGUGGGGUAACGGCUCACCUAGGCGACGAUCCCUAGCUGGUCUGAGAGGAUGACCAGCCACACGGGAAGGGAGACACGGCCAAGACUCCGAGGGGAGGGAGCAGGGGGGAAUAUUGCAAAGAGGGCGAAAGCCGGAGGCAGCCAUGCGGGGUGGAGGAAGAAGGCCUUCGGUUGGUAAAGUCUUUGCAGGGGGGAGGAAGGGAUAAAAGUUAAUACCUUUCCUAUUUGACGUUCCCGAAAGAAGAAGCCCCGGCUAACUCCGUG
RNAcentral lists this ribosomal RNA (490 nucleotides) under uncultured bacterium. RNAcentral describes it as "partial 16S ribosomal RNA". It matches the Rfam family "Bacterial small subunit ribosomal RNA", at positions 29 to 507 of the family's 1533-position model. The record is from RNAcentral.